GACGAACGCUGGCGGCGUGCUUAACACAUGCAAGUCGAACGGAUGCAGAUGGGAGCUUGCUUUCAUUUGUAUUAGUGGCGAAAGGGUGAGUAACGCGUGGGCAACCUGCCCAGUACCGGGGAAUAACAGCGGGAAACCGUUGCUAAUACCGCAUAACAUCUUUUUGAGACAUCUCAGGAAGAUCAAAGGAGAAAUCCAGUACUGGAUGGGCCCGCGUCCGAUUAGCUAGUUGGUGGGGUAAUGGCCUACCAAGGCGACGAUCGGUAGCCGAACUGAGAGGUUGAUCGGCCACAUUGGGACUGAGACACGGCCCAGACUCCUACGGGAGGCAGCAGUGGGGAAUAUUGCACAAUGGACGAAAGUCUGAUGCAGCAACGCCGCGUGAAGGAAGAAGGUCUUCGGAUUGUAAACUUCUUUGAUCGGGGAAGAAUAAUGACAGUACCCGAAGAACAAGCCACGGCUAACUACGUGCCAGCAGCCGCGGUAAUACGUAGGUGGCGAGCGUUGUCCGGAAUUACUGGGUGUAAAGGGCGCGUAGGCGGGAAUGCAAGUCAGAUGUGAAAUCCCAAGGCUUAACCUUGGAACUGCAUCUGANACUGUGUUUCUUGAGUGUCGGAGAGGAAAGCGGAAUUCCCCGUGUAGCGGUGAAAUGCGUAGAUAUGGGGAGGAACACCGGUGGCGAAGGCGGCUUUCUGGACGAUAACUGACGCUGAGGCGCGAAAGCGUGGGUAGCAAACAGGAUUAGAUACCCUGGUAGUCCACGCUGUAAACGAUGGAUACUANGUGUAGGAGGUAUCGACCCCUCCUGUGCCGCAGUUAACACAAUAAGUAUCCCACCUGGGGAGUACGGCCGCAAAGCUGAAACUCAAAGGAAUUGACGGGGGCCCGCACAAGCAGUGGAGUAUGUGGUUUAAUUCGAAGCAACGCGAAGAACUUUACCAGGUCUUGACAUCCCUUGCAUACCAUAGAGAUAUGGGAAGCCCUUCGGGGCAAGGAGACAGGUGGUGCAUGGUUGUCGUCAGCUCGUGUCGUGAGAUGUUGGGUUAAGUCCCGCAACGAGCGCAACCCCUGUUGUUGGUUGCCAUCAUUAAGUUGGGCACUCCAGCAAGACUGCCGGUGACAAAUCGGAGGAAGGUGGGGACGACGUCAAAUCAUCAUGCCCCUUAUGACCUGGGCUACACACGUACUACAAUGGCUGUUACAGAGGGUAGCGACUACGUAAGUAAGAGCAAAUCUCCAAAAACAGGCCCAGUUCGGAUUGUGGGCUGCAACUCGCCCACAUGAAGUCGGAAUUGCUAGUAAUUGCAGGUCAGCAUACUGCAGUGAAUACGUUCCCGGGCCUUGUACACACCGCCCGUCACACCAUGAGAGUCGGGAACACCCGAAGUCGGUAGCAUAACCCGUAAGGGAGUGCGCCGCCGAAGGUGGGUUUGAUAAUUAGGGUG
Molecule: ribosomal RNA, 1445 nt
Filed under: uncultured bacterium
Lineage: Bacteria
Description: bacterial SSU rRNA
Rfam family: Bacterial small subunit ribosomal RNA
Source: RNAcentral